Molecule: non-coding RNA, 131 nt
Organism: Paramuricea clavata
Lineage: Eukaryota; Metazoa; Cnidaria; Anthozoa; Malacalcyonacea; Plexauridae
Source: the annotation of a GenBank genome assembly
CACGGUGGGAUUCGAACCUAAGACCUUUGGAAUACUAGCCCAAUGCUCUUCCAACUGAGCUACGCGGUUAGCCCAACGCUCUUCCAACUUGGGCUAGUAUUCCAAAGGUCUUAGGUUCGAAUCCCACUUUG